AUGGCCGUUGCGACCACGAAGCUGGCGACGGUGACCGGCGCAGCUAAGGCGGUCAUGGUGGUGGCAGCGGUGCUGGCGGCAGCGGUGGUCUCAGUGGACGGCCAGACGGACGGCUGCCGCUACAUUGACCCGACGGCGGGGAGGACCUGCGAGCUCGCGGCGGGCGGCGCCAUCCCGGGGCUCCUAGCGCACUGCUGCGCCAUCUUGUCCGCCGACCGGGGCAACUGCCUGCAGUGCCGGCUGCGGGAGCUGCUCGCCGGGAGGGAGCAGCCCCUCGCGGAGAUCUUCCCGUGCAUCGUCGAGGAGGCCGCCUGCCCGCUCGCGGGUCCAACCGAUGAUCGACCACCGUUGUUGUCAGCUGGCAUUUGA
Molecule: ribosomal RNA, 369 nt
Filed under: Triticum aestivum (bread wheat)
Lineage: Eukaryota; Viridiplantae; Streptophyta; Magnoliopsida; Poales; Poaceae
Description: partial small subunit ribosomal RNA
Source: RNAcentral